AUUAGAUACCCUAUUAUUUUUAUUGUGAAAAUAUAAGCUGGAGUAUUAAUAGUUAUGAUCUUAAAACUUAAAGAAUUUGGCGGUAUUAUAAUCUGUUUAGAGGAAUCUGUUAUAUAAUCGAUAAUCCACGUAGAACCUUACUUAUAUUAUUUUUUGUAUAUCGCUGUUUAAGAAAAUAUUUUUAGAUAAAUUUUCUGAAUAUAAAAAUAAUUAAUAUUUCAAGUCAAGGUGCAGUAAUAUAUAAGUUGAAUAAUGGAUUACAAUAAAUUUUAUUUAUAUGAAUAAUUAGUUGAAAUUUAAUUUGAAAGUGGAUUUAAUUGUAAUUUUAUAAAGAAUAUUAAAAUGAUUUGUAGUUCUAUAAUGUGUACACAUCGCCCG
Molecule: ribosomal RNA, 378 nt
Filed under: Antemna rapax
Lineage: Eukaryota; Metazoa; Arthropoda; Insecta; Mantodea; Hymenopodidae
Description: partial 12S ribosomal RNA
Source: RNAcentral